CUACCGCCACAUGCCCGCCCAUGUUUGCCAUGGUUUCGUGUUCUGUUCACUCUGCGUGGACUGCGACAAAUGUCGUCUUGACCUUGGAUUACCAAAGGGAAACCUGUACAGCUAUUGGCUGCGGAGGGCGUGGAUGCCACAUUAGUCUACGGUGUCAACGGUUAACAAACAGAGGUGCAAUAUUCCAAAAACAUCGAAACACGAGAUACGCAGGGAAUACGACGAGCCAUUGGUCCACGCCGUCAAAGAUACACUGCGCUGCUAAGUGUUUGGAAUCGUGGGUUUGCACCGGAUUUAAUUUUGUCGAUCGUCCGUCAACUUUGCCUGAUGUCCCUAUUUGUGAGACAGCGAUGGACUUUCCGCUAGCAAGCCAGAAUUUGGUUGUGUCAGAGGAGUAUGCAUUCCAUGAAAAAAUAUAAAGCGGACAAUACACGUCGAAAUGUACGUUAGAAUUAUCACGUCAAGAUUGUC
Molecule: long non-coding RNA, 471 nt
Organism: Lingula anatina
Lineage: Eukaryota; Metazoa; Brachiopoda; Lingulata; Lingulida; Lingulidae
Source: RefSeq, a predicted model, not a curated record